This 324-nucleotide ribosomal RNA is filed under the name uncultured eukaryote. Its description in RNAcentral is "partial 18S ribosomal RNA". It matches the Rfam family "Eukaryotic small subunit ribosomal RNA", at positions 1470 to 1796 of the family's 1831-position model. The record is from RNAcentral.
CCCUUAGAUGUUCUGGGCCGCACGCGCGCUACACUGACGGAGCCAACGAGUCUUUUCCUUGUCCGGAAGGACUGGGUAAUCUUGUGAAACUUCGUCGUGCUGGGGAUAGAGCAUUGCAAUUAUUGCUCUUCAACGAGGAAUUCCUAGUAAGCGUGAGUCAUCAGACUGCAUCGAUUACGUCCCUGCCCUUUGUACACACCGCCCGUCGCUCCUACCGAUUGAAUGCUCAGGUGAGCCAUUCGGACUUUCAUCAUGCUGGUUUCCAGUUUUGAUGAAGGAAAGUCUUGCGAACCUUAUCAUUUAGAGGAAGGAGAAGUCGUAACA